Molecule: ribosomal RNA, 253 nt
Filed under: uncultured bacterium
Lineage: Bacteria
Description: partial 16S ribosomal RNA
Rfam family: Bacterial small subunit ribosomal RNA
Source: RNAcentral
UACGUAGGGUGCGAGCGUUAAUCGGAAUUAUUGGGCGUAAAGCGUGCGCAGGCGGUUCGUUAAGUCAGCUGUGAAAGCCCCGGGCUUAACCUGGGAAUGGCGGUUGAAACUGGCGAACUUGAAUCUGGCAGAGGGGGGUGGAAUUCCACGUGUAGCAGUGAAAUGCGUAGAGAUGUGGAGGAACACCGAUGGCGAAGGCAGCCCCCUGGGCUGAGAUUGACGCUCAGGCACGAAAGCGUGGGGAGCAAACAGG